This 99-nucleotide signal recognition particle RNA is filed under the name Synergistaceae bacterium. Its description in RNAcentral is "signal recognition particle sRNA small type". It matches the Rfam family "Bacterial small signal recognition particle RNA". Rfam says of the family: The signal recognition particle (SRP) is a universally conserved ribonucleoprotein involved in the co-translational targeting of proteins to membranes. Archaeal SRP consists of a 7S RNA and homologues of the eukaryotic SRP19 and SRP54 proteins. The record is from RNAcentral. Lineage: Bacteria; Thermotogati; Synergistota; Synergistia; Synergistales; Synergistaceae.
GGCCCAGACCCAUGCGACGGAGAAUUGUGAAUCCCGCCAGGUCCGGAAGGAAGCAACGGUAAGCAAACCUCUUCGGGCGCCACGGUAAUCUGGGGCUCC